GAUGAACGCUGGCGGCGUGCCUAAUACAUGCAAGUCGAGCGAACAGACGAGGAGCUUGCUCCUCUGACGUUAGCGGCGGACGGGUGUGUAACACGUGGAACAUCUCCCUAUAAGACUGGGAUCACUACGGGACACCGGCGCUAAUCCCGGAUAAUCUACUGAACCGUAUGGUUCAAUAGUGAGAGACGGUUUUGCUGUCAGUUAUCGAUGGAUCUCGGCCGCAUUAGCUAGUUGGUAAGGUAACGGCUUUCCAAGGCAACGAUGCGUAGCCGACCUGUGAGGGUGGUCGCCCACACGGGAGCUGAGACGCGGACCAUGGGACUACGAGAGGCAGCAGUAGGGAAUCGGCCGCAAUGGGCGAGAGCCUGACGGAGCAACGCCGCGUGUGAGGCAAAGGUGUUCGGAUCGGAAAACUGUGUUAUGAGGGAAGAACAGAUGUGUAAGUAACUGUGCACGGCGUGACGGUACCGAAUCAGAAAGCCACGGCUAACUACGUG
RNAcentral lists this ribosomal RNA (497 nucleotides) under uncultured bacterium. RNAcentral's name for it is "partial 16S ribosomal RNA". It matches the Rfam family "Bacterial small subunit ribosomal RNA", at positions 28 to 507 of the family's 1533-position model. The record is from RNAcentral.